AGGCCGGCCAGUGCGGCAACCAGAUCGGGGCCAAGUCUGGGAAGUCAUCAGUGAUGAGCAUGGCAUCGACCCCAGCGGCAACUACGUGGGCGACUCGGACUUGCAGCUGGAGCGGAUCAGCGUCUACUACAACGAGGCCUCUUUCACAAGUACGUGCCUCGAGCCAUUCUGGUGGACCUGGAACCCGGAACCAUGGACAGUGUCCGCUCAGGGGCCUUUGGACAUCUCUUCAGGCCUGACAAUUUCAUCUUUGUCAGAGUGGGGCCGGCAACAACUGGGCCAAGGGUCACUACACG
RNAcentral lists this long non-coding RNA (296 nucleotides) under Homo sapiens (human). RNAcentral describes it as "HSALNT0235579". Lineage: Eukaryota; Metazoa; Chordata; Mammalia; Primates; Hominidae. The record is from RNAcentral.